AACGUAGGGGGCAAGCGUUAUCCGGAAUUACUGGGUGUAAAGGGUGAGUAGCCGGCUUGUCAAGUCAUGGGUGAAAUUCCACGGCUCAACCGUGGAACUGCCCAAGAAACUGAUGAGCUAGAGUACAGGAGAGGUCAGUGGAACUCCUUGUGUAGCGGUGAAAUGCGUAGAUAUAAGGAAGAACACCAGUGGCGAAGGCGACUGACUGGACUGAAACUGACGGUGAGUCACGAAAGCGUGGGGAGCGAACAGG
This 253-nucleotide ribosomal RNA is filed under the name uncultured bacterium. RNAcentral's name for it is "partial 16S ribosomal RNA". It matches the Rfam family "Bacterial small subunit ribosomal RNA", at positions 524 to 776 of the family's 1533-position model. The record is from RNAcentral.